RNAcentral lists this ribosomal RNA (2903 nucleotides) under Escherichia coli. RNAcentral describes it as "23S ribosomal RNA". It matches the Rfam family "Bacterial large subunit ribosomal RNA". Lineage: Bacteria; Pseudomonadati; Pseudomonadota; Gammaproteobacteria; Enterobacterales; Enterobacteriaceae. The record is from RNAcentral.
GGUUAAGCGACUAAGCGUACACGGUGGAUGCCCUGGCAGUCAGAGGCGAUGAAGGACGUGCUAAUCUGCGAUAAGCGUCGGUAAGGUGAUAUGAACCGUUAUAACCGGCGAUUUCCGAAUGGGGAAACCCAGUGUGUUUCGACACACUAUCAUUAACUGAAUCCAUAGGUUAAUGAGGCGAACCGGGGGAACUGAAACAUCUAAGUACCCCGAGGAAAAGAAAUCAACCGAGAUUCCCCCAGUAGCGGCGAGCGAACGGGGAGCAGCCCAGAGUCUGAAUCAGUGUGUGUGUUAGUGGAAGCGUCUGGAAAGGCGCGCGAUACAGGGUGACAGCCCCGUACACAAAAAUGCACAUACUGUGAGCUCGAUGAGUAGGGCGGGACACGUGGUAUCCUGUCUGAAUAUGGGGGGACCAUCCUCCAAGGCUAAAUACUCCUGACUGACCGAUAGUGAACCAGUACCGUGAGGGAAAGGCGAAAAGAACCCCGGCGAGGGGAGUGAAAAAGAACCUGAAACCGUGUACGUACAAGCAGUGGGAGCCUCUUUAUGGGGUGACUGCGUACCUUUUGUAUAAUGGGUCAGCGACUUAUAUUCUGUAGCAAGGUUAACCGAAUAGGGGAGCCGAAGGGAAACCGAGUCUUAACUGGGCGUUAAGUUGCAGGGUAUAGACCCGAAACCCGGUGAUCUAGCCAUGGGCAGGUUGAAGGUUGGGUAACACUAACUGGAGGACCGAACCGACUAAUGUUGAAAAAUUAGCGGAUGACUUGUGGCUGGGGGUGAAAGGCCAAUCAAACCGGGAGAUAGCUGGUUCUCCCCGAAAGCUAUUUAGGUAGCGCCUCGUGAAUUCAUCUCCGGGGGUAGAGCACUGUUUCGGCAAGGGGGUCAUCCCGACUUACCAACCCGAUGCAAACUGCGAAUACCGGAGAAUGUUAUCACGGGAGACACACGGCGGGUGCUAACGUCCGUCGUGAAGAGGGAAACAACCCAGACCGCCAGCUAAGGUCCCAAAGUCAUGGUUAAGUGGGAAACGAUGUGGGAAGGCCCAGACAGCCAGGAUGUUGGCUUAGAAGCAGCCAUCAUUUAAAGAAAGCGUAAUAGCUCACUGGUCGAGUCGGCCUGCGCGGAAGAUGUAACGGGGCUAAACCAUGCACCGAAGCUGCGGCAGCGACGCUUAUGCGUUGUUGGGUAGGGGAGCGUUCUGUAAGCCUGUGAAGGUGUGCUGUGAGGCAUGCUGGAGGUAUCAGAAGUGCGAAUGCUGACAUAAGUAACGAUAAAGCGGGUGAAAAGCCCGCUCGCCGGAAGACCAAGGGUUCCUGUCCAACGUUAAUCGGGGCAGGGUGAGUCGACCCCUAAGGCGAGGCCGAAAGGCGUAGUCGAUGGGAAACAGGUUAAUAUUCCUGUACUUGGUGUUACUGCGAAGGGGGGACGGAGAAGGCUAUGUUGGCCGGGCGACGGUUGUCCCGGUUUAAGCGUGUAGGCUGGUUUUCCAGGCAAAUCCGGAAAAUCAAGGCUGAGGCGUGAUGACGAGGCACUACGGUGCUGAAGCAACAAAUGCCCUGCUUCCAGGAAAAGCCUCUAAGCAUCAGGUAACAUCAAAUCGUACCCCAAACCGACACAGGUGGUCAGGUAGAGAAUACCAAGGCGCUUGAGAGAACUCGGGUGAAGGAACUAGGCAAAAUGGUGCCGUAACUUCGGGAGAAGGCACGCUGAUAUGUAGGUGAAGUCCCUCGCGGAUGGAGCUGAAAUCAGUCGAAGAUACCAGCUGGCUGCAACUGUUUAUUAAAAACACAGCACUGUGCAAACACGAAAGUGGACGUAUACGGUGUGACGCCUGCCCGGUGCCGGAAGGUUAAUUGAUGGGGUCAGCGCAAGCGAAGCUCUUGAUCGAAGCCCCGGUAAACGGCGGCCGUAACUAUAACGGUCCUAAGGUAGCGAAAUUCCUUGUCGGGUAAGUUCCGACCUGCACGAAUGGCGUAAUGAUGGCCAGGCUGUCUCCACCCGAGACUCAGUGAAAUUGAACUCGCUGUGAAGAUGCAGUGUACCCGCGGCAAGACGGAAAGACCCCGUGAACCUUUACUAUAGCUUGACACUGAACAUUGAGCCUUGAUGUGUAGGAUAGGUGGGAGGCUUAGAAGUGUGGACGCCAGUCUGCAUGGAGCCGACCUUGAAAUACCACCCUUUAAUGUUUGAUGUUCUAACGUUGACCCGUAAUCCGGGUUGCGGACAGUGUCUGGUGGGUAGUUUGACUGGGGCGGUCUCCUCCUAAAGAGUAACGGAGGAGCACGAAGGUUGGCUAAUCCUGGUCGGACAUCAGGAGGUUAGUGCAAUGGCAUAAGCCAGCUUGACUGCGAGCGUGACGGCGCGAGCAGGUGCGAAAGCAGGUCAUAGUGAUCCGGUGGUUCUGAAUGGAAGGGCCAUCGCUCAACGGAUAAAAGGUACUCCGGGGAUAACAGGCUGAUACCGCCCAAGAGUUCAUAUCGACGGCGGUGUUUGGCACCUCGAUGUCGGCUCAUCACAUCCUGGGGCUGAAGUAGGUCCCAAGGGUAUGGCUGUUCGCCAUUUAAAGUGGUACGCGAGCUGGGUUUAGAACGUCGUGAGACAGUUCGGUCCCUAUCUGCCGUGGGCGCUGGAGAACUGAGGGGGGCUGCUCCUAGUACGAGAGGACCGGAGUGGACGCAUCACUGGUGUUCGGGUUGUCAUGCCAAUGGCACUGCCCGGUAGCUAAAUGCGGAAGAGAUAAGUGCUGAAAGCAUCUAAGCACGAAACUUGCCCCGAGAUGAGUUCUCCCUGACUCCUUGAGAGUCCUGAAGGAACGUUGAAGACGACGACGUUGAUAGGCCGGGUGUGUAAGCGCAGCGAUGCGUUGAGCUAACCGGUACUAAUGAACCGUGAGGCUUAACCUU